AACGAACGCUGGCGGCAUGCCUAACACAUGCAAGUCGAACGAUCCCUUCGGGGAUAGUGGCGCACGGGUGCGUAACGCGUGGGAACCUGCCCUUAGGUUCGGAAUAACUCAGAGAAAUUUGAGCUAAUACCGGAUAAUGUCUUCGGACCAAAGAUUUAUCGCCUUUGGAUGGGCCCGCGUUGGAUUAGCUAGUUGGUGGGGUAAAGGCCUACCAAGGCGACGAUCCAUAGCUGGUCUGAGAGGAUGAUCAGCCACACUGGGACUGAGACACGGCCCAGACUCCUACGGGAGGCAGCAGUGGGGAAUAUUGGACAAUGGGCGAAAGCCUGAUCCAGCAAUGCCGCGGGAGUGAUGAAGGCCUUAGGGUUGUAAAGCUCUUUUACCCGGGAUGAUAAUGACAGUACCGGGAGAAUAAGCCCCGGCUAACUCCGU
Molecule: ribosomal RNA, 432 nt
Filed under: uncultured bacterium
Lineage: Bacteria
Description: partial 16S ribosomal RNA
Rfam family: Bacterial small subunit ribosomal RNA
Source: RNAcentral